GUCUUUUUGAUUAAAAUUUAAAGUCUAACCUGCCCUAUGAUUAAUUAAAUGGCCGCAGUAUUUUGACUGUGCGAAGGUAGCAUAAUCAUUAGUUUCUUAAUUAGGAACUGGAAUGAAUGGUUUGACAAAAGGGGUUCUGUCUCUUGCUUAAGAUUAGAAUUUUAUUUUUGAGUAAAAAAGCUUAAAUUUUUUUAAAAGACGAGAAGACCCUAUAGAUUUUUAUAUUUAUUUAUUCAAGUUUUUUAUGUAUUAUUAAAUUUUGUUUAAUAAAGUAUUUGGUUGGGGUGAUUAAGAAAUUUAUUUAACUUUUUUUAUUUUAUUUAUUGAUUUAUAUAUAAUUGAUCCGUUUUUCGAUUAAAAGAUUAAAUUACCUUAGGGAUAACAGCGUAAUUUUCUUGGAGAGUUCUUAUUGAUAAGAGAGAUUGCGACCUCGAUGUUGGAUUAAAGUUAAAUUUUGGUGUAGAAGCUGAUAUUUUAAGUCUGUUCGACUUUUGAAACUUUACAUGAUCUGAGUUUAAACCGGCGUGAGCCAGGUUGGUUUCUAUCUUUAAUAAAUAACAAAUUAUUUAGUACGAAAGGACCAAUAGUUUAAUAAAUUAUUUUUUUUGUGAAUAUAUUUAUUAUUUUGGCAGAAUAGUGCGAUGGAUUUAGAAUCUUUACAUGUAUAAAUUACAAAUAAUACUUGUUUUUAAAUGAUGGAUUUCUUUACUUUUUUAGCAUAAUUGUUCUUUUGGUAGUGUAUUGGUAGGUGUUGCUUUUUUAACUUUAUUAGAACGUAAAGGUUU
RNAcentral lists this ribosomal RNA (785 nucleotides) under Lyctus sp. TJH-2004. Its description in RNAcentral is "partial 16S ribosomal RNA". The stretch from base 1 to 584 matches the Rfam family "Bacterial large subunit ribosomal RNA", at positions 1819 to 2925 of the family's 2925-position model. The record is from RNAcentral. Lineage: Eukaryota; Metazoa; Arthropoda; Insecta; Coleoptera; Bostrichidae.